Molecule: ribosomal RNA, 858 nt
Filed under: Dimeregramma acutum
Lineage: Eukaryota; Bacillariophyta; Plagiogrammaphyceae; Plagiogrammales; Plagiogrammaceae
Description: eukaryotic LSU rRNA
Rfam family: 5.8S ribosomal RNA (bases 376-530)
Source: RNAcentral
GGACGGGGGAGGAUAUUACCACACCGAUCCAUGGAUCUCUAUAACUGCGAACGUUGUCGUGUUGUUGGGUGCUUUAGUUACUAGGGCUGCGUCGUGCCUUCGCGCGGCGUGCCGAGUAGCGCUACGCGGUACCACGUGCCGCCAGCCCUUUGACCGACACGCGCCGUGUCUCGCGACGCGACUACUUAUUUUAUUUUACCGCCGUGCUCUGCGCGUAGAAGAUUCGUUACCACGCGUCCUUAUGGCUGGACGCGGAAUCUUAUUUUACUACUGUACCUGAAAUAGACUGAAGGAACGUGAAGCAAAAAGGGGUGUGGCUCGGUGCUACAACUCGUAGUACUUGUUGCUGACCUCUCAAUAACAAUGUUGUAUUACAACUUUCAGCAACGGAUGUCUAGGUUCCCACAACGAUGAAGAACGCAGCGAAAUGCGAUACGUAAUGCGAAUUGCAAAACCUCGUGAAUCAUCAAAAUUUUGAACGCACAUUGCGCUACCGGGACAUGCCCGGUAGCAUGCUUAUCUGAGUGUCCGCGAUCACCACUCAGCCUCGUGUUGUUGAUUUGUCACAACGCGGGCGCUGGAAUAUGUCAUUGCACGCGUACCGCGUGCUAUGGUGAAAUGCGCGACAGGCCGUUACGCAGUAGCGGUUCGUGGCACGAUUUGUCGUGUUGCGUGCUAUCCGUGUAAUUUAUUACUACGGUUGUCUCUGGUAGAAGCACAGUACGUGCGUCCGAAAGAGUGCUGACCGUAGUGUAGAUUUUCGCUGAUGCGCGUGACGCUUCAUAACGCGAAAGUAAAUCUAUUUUCUUGUGUUUACUUCGGUUCGGAUCUCAGAUUAAGUAAGAAUACCCGCUGAUU